RNAcentral lists this ribosomal RNA (468 nucleotides) under uncultured bacterium. Its description in RNAcentral is "partial 16S ribosomal RNA". It matches the Rfam family "Bacterial small subunit ribosomal RNA", at positions 28 to 507 of the family's 1533-position model. The record is from RNAcentral.
GACGAACGCUGGCGGCGUGCUUAACACAUGCAAGUCGAACGGAAAGGCCCUGCUUUUGUGGGGUGCUCGAGUGGCGAACGGGUGAGUAACACGUGAGUAACCUGCCCUUGACUUUGGGAUAACUUCAGGAAACUGGGGCUAAUACCGGAUAGGAGCUCCUGCUGCAUGGUGGGGGUUGGAAAGUUUCGGCGGUUGGGGAUGGACUCGCGGCUUAUCAGCUUGUUGGUGGGGUAGUGGCUUACCAAGGCUUUGACGGGUAGCCGGCCUGAGAGGGUGACCGGCCACAUUGGGACUGAGAUACGGACCGGACUCCUACGGGAGGCAGCAGUGGGGAAUAUUGCACAAUGGGCGGAAGCCUGAUGCAGCAACGCCGCGUGCGGGAUGACGGCCUUCGGGUUGUAAACCGCUUUCGCCUGUGACGAAGCGUGAGUGACGGUAAUGGGUAAAGAAGCACCGGCUAACUACGUG